RNAcentral lists this ribosomal RNA (495 nucleotides) under uncultured bacterium. RNAcentral describes it as "partial 16S ribosomal RNA". It matches the Rfam family "Bacterial small subunit ribosomal RNA", at positions 30 to 507 of the family's 1533-position model. The record is from RNAcentral.
UGAACGCUGGCGGCGUGCCUACUACAUGCAAGUCGAGCGAACAGACGCGGAGCUUGCUCCUCUGACGUUAGCGGCGGACGGGUGAGUAACACGUGGAUAACCUACCUAUAAGACUGGGAUAACUUCGGGAAACCGGAGCUAAUACCGGAUAAUAUAUUGAACCGCAUGGUUCAAUAGUGAAAGACGGUUUUGCUGUCACUUAUAGAUGGAUCCGCGCCGCAUUAGCUAGUUGGUAAGGUAACGGCUUACCAAGGCAACGAUGCGUAGCCGACCUGAGAGGGUGAUCGGCCACACUGGAACUGAGACACGGUCCAGACUCCUACGGGAGGCAGCAGUAGGGAAUCUUCCGCAAUGGGCGAAAGCCUGACGGAGCAACGCCGCGUGAGUGAUGAAGGUCUUCGGAUCGUAAAACUCUGUUAUUAGGGAAGAACAAAUGUGUAAGUAACUAUGCACGUCUUGACGGUACCUAAUCAGAAAGCCACGGCUAACUACGUG